Molecule: non-coding RNA, 23 nt
Filed under: Cricetulus griseus (Chinese hamster)
Lineage: Eukaryota; Metazoa; Chordata; Mammalia; Rodentia; Cricetidae
Source: RNAcentral
GAUGAAUACCAACGGCUCUGAUG